RNAcentral lists this ribosomal RNA (430 nucleotides) under Bacteroidota bacterium. RNAcentral describes it as "Bacteroidetes bacterium partial 16S ribosomal RNA". It matches the Rfam family "Bacterial small subunit ribosomal RNA", at positions 355 to 776 of the family's 1533-position model. Lineage: Bacteria; Pseudomonadati; Bacteroidota. The record is from RNAcentral.
UAGGGAAUCUUCGGCAAUGGGGGGAACCCUGACCGAGCAACGCCGCGUGAGUGAAGAAGGUUUUCGGAUCGUAAAGCUCUGUUGUUAAGGAAGAACGAGUGUGAGAGUGGAAAGUUCAUACUGUGACGGUACUUAACCAGAAAGCCACGGCUAACUACGUGCCAGCAGCCGCGGUAAUACGUAGGUGGCAGGCGUUGUCCGGAUUUAUUGGGCGUAAAGCGAGCGCAGGCGGUCAAUUAAGUCUGAUGUGAAAGCCCCCGGCUCAACCGGGGAGGGUCAUUGGAAACUGGUUGACUUGAGUGCAGAAGAGGAGAGUGGAAUUCCAUGUGUAGCGGUGAAAUGCGUAGAUAUAUGGAGGAACACCAGUGGCGAAGGCGACUCUCUGGUCUGUAACUGACGCUGAGGUUCGAAAGCGUGGGUAGCAAACAGG